GGCCGGUUAGCUCAGUCGAUUGAGUGUGGUGUUGAAAACACCGAAGUCGUGGGUUUGAUUCCCGUUCAGUCCC
Molecule: transfer RNA, 73 nt
Filed under: Apaloderma vittatum (bar-tailed trogon)
Lineage: Eukaryota; Metazoa; Chordata; Aves; Trogoniformes; Trogonidae
Rfam family: tRNA
About the family: Transfer RNA (tRNA) molecules are approximately 80 nucleotides in length. Their secondary structure includes four short double-helical elements and three loops (D, anti-codon, and T loops).
Source: Rfam by way of RNAcentral